RNAcentral lists this long non-coding RNA (926 nucleotides) under Homo sapiens (human). RNAcentral describes it as "long non-coding RNA NONHSAT002059.2". Lineage: Eukaryota; Metazoa; Chordata; Mammalia; Primates; Hominidae. The record is from RNAcentral.
CCGGGUCGCACAGCCAGGCGGCACCCGGGGGAAGAGGACCCGGCUGGCCGAAGAGGAGACCCGUUUCCUCUGACUGAGAGACGUGGCUGGGGGGCUUUCCAUCUGCUUCGCCUCCCUCGGGCAGGCAGCUCUGAGAUGCCCGGAGGGAUGUGAUGCCCCAUCGCCAAAUUGGGGUCUCUAAGCUAUGAAAUGGCCACCUCACGGGGCAUCAUGGGAAUCAAAGUGUCUGCAGGCAAAGCUCAUAACUCCGAGCGGGAGCCUCCAAACAGCAGCAUCCUAGCAGGGUGGCGUGCACGUACCUUGCUGAUGUCAGGGGACCUGGAACGACCACCCUCUGCAUCGCCGAAGGCUUUGGUGAUAGCGAACUGGAUGGCCAGGCCGGUCAUGGUGCCUGUGGACAGCGGCUGGAUACGGCGCACAGCCUGCAGCAGUGCGGCCUUGGAGACAUGAGCCCGCAGCGAGAACUCCUGCUUCACGGUGCUGGCAUAGUUGACCAUGCCCACCCGGGUGGCAUUGGGCCCCACGUCCAGCGACUCGAUGACCUGGGACAGGAAUACCUUCACUUUCUCAAAUUCAACAGGCCGAACGCUGCGAGAGCUGUCGACAACAAACACCAGGGUCACACAAGGGCCAUCCACGGUGACCAGCGGUGAGAAACGCAAUGCUGUCCUCGUGCCAUGCUGGAGGUGAACGAGGAGAACGUGAGCUGGGGUCUCCUCACCAACUGCUCCCCCCACCCCAACCCCCCUGACGGCCAGGGCUGUGUCCAGGGCUCAGGGCACAAGGCUCCGUUAGCUGGGCAGCAGCUGGCCCAUGAAACAGCCCUUUCAGCUCCACCUCUGAAUGGCAGUUCUAUGGGCUCCUCGGAAGAACACAGGCGCCUUCUCUGUGUCACUUCUCCGCUCAUUAGCAGAGCUGCAGAAAUA